GAUGAAGAACGCAGCGAAAUGCGAUAAGUAAUGUGAAUUGCAGAAUUCAGUGAAUCAUCGAAUCUUUGAACGCAUCUUGCGCUCCUUGGUAUUCUGAGGAGCAUGCCUGUUUGAGUGUCAUUAAAUUCUCAACUACACUGACUUUGAAUUGGUGUGGCUUGGAUUUGGGGGGAAAAUUGUUGUGGGCUUUUUGUAUAGUCUGCUCCCCUGAAAUUGAUUAGCGGUACCUUUGUGGAACUGUCUACAGGUGUGAUAAUUAUCUACAUCUUAGACAUCUGCUGGAAUGCUGCUCUCUAAACCUUACUUGUAUUGACAAUCUUGACCUCAAAUCAGGUAGGACUACCCGCUGAACUUAAGCAUAUCAUAAGCGGAGGA
This 375-nucleotide unclassified non-coding RNA is filed under the name soil metagenome. RNAcentral's name for it is "partial contains 5.8S ribosomal RNA, internal transcribed spacer 2, and large subunit ribosomal RNA". The stretch from base 1 to 120 matches the Rfam family "5.8S ribosomal RNA", at positions 35 to 154 of the family's 154-position model. The record is from RNAcentral.